UAAAGUGCGAAAUGUAAUGCGAUUUGCAUGAAUCUGUGAGUCAUCGAAUUUUUGAACGCAACUUGCGCCCUAUUAGGGCAUGUCUGUUUGAGUACCGCAAUCUUUUAUGCAGCAAUGCGAAUUGAUCAUGGCGUUAGGCCUUGGUUUAAAGAUAGUAUAUAGUAUCAAGCUAGAGCUUGGACACUAUGUGUUAGAGACGCAAGUCUUCUCAUAGUACCAUGCGCUAAUGCUAGAUAACAAAUACUUUUUUUUUGGUCUCAAAUCAGGCAAGACUACCCGCUGAACUUAA
Molecule: unclassified non-coding RNA, 289 nt
Filed under: uncultured fungus
Lineage: Eukaryota; Fungi
Description: sequence contains ITS1
Rfam family: 5.8S ribosomal RNA (bases 1-97)
Source: RNAcentral